GUUUGAAAAAGCUGUCUGAAAUUGUUGAUCUUUUUCGUGACAGCAGAAUCACCUGAACUGGGUUGCUUACAGCUCAAAAUAGAAUUUGCUUGGGAAAUAAGAAUGCAAUGAUCUCUUAAUCUUCAAGUGUGGUUCAAAAGUUUUGGCGGGGAAGGCACUAAAAGAAUAUGGCUGUGUUCCAGGAAUGAAAAAGAAGUAUUGUCACGGUGAAAAUAAAGUGAUGACCAAUGAAUAAAAAGAAGAUCAAGAUGUCUCAGAAACUGUUGGCCAAAUGCAAUGCAAUAAGGAUUGUUUCAUUAUGAAAGAUGAUGGGGCAAUGGACAUAAGGCAGGGUGGGCAGAAAUUCUGCCAUCUGGCAUGGGUUGUGAAACCAUGGUUUGGGCAUCACCACAUUUUGGAAAGAAGGCUGUUGGACUCUCUUUAAGGUUAGUAAGUGAUGUCUGUAAGGAGUUAAUUUCAAUCUCUCUAGUUUUGCAUGUCAGGUAGUCACCCAGUUACACCUCAGUCACUAUGUCAUUUUCCAUUCACUCUAGCUAUCCCAUGAUGGUUUGCCACAUAUAGAUUCAGAAAUUGACUGUCAAGUUGUUCUUUAUACCGUGUUUUAUUGCCAUACAUGAAACAGCAUUGACUUUCC
Molecule: long non-coding RNA, 634 nt
Filed under: Dromaius novaehollandiae (emu)
Lineage: Eukaryota; Metazoa; Chordata; Aves; Casuariiformes; Dromaiidae
Description: lncRNA (ENSDNVG00000005872.1)
Source: RNAcentral